CCUACGGGUGGCUGCAGUGAGGAAUAUUGGUCAAUGGACGAGAGUCUGAACCAGCCAAGUAGCGUGAAGGAUGACUGCCCUAUGGGUUGUAAACUUCUUUUAUAUGGGAAUAAAAUGUUCCACGUGUGGGAUUUUGUAUGUACCAUCUGAAUAAGGAUCGGCUAACUCCGUGCCAGCAGCCGCGGUAAUACGGAGGAUCCGAGCGUUAUCCGGAUUUAUUGGGUGUAAAGGGAGCGUAGGUGGAUUGUUAAGUCAGUUGUGAAAGUUUGCGGCUCAACCGUAAAAUUGCAGUUGAAACUGGCAGUCUUGAGUACAGUAGAGGUGGGCGGAAUUCGUGGUGUAGCGGUGAAAUGCUUAGAUAUCACGAAGAACUCCGAUGGCGAAGGCAGUUCACUGGACUGCAACUGACACUGAGGCUCGAAAGUGUGGGUAUCAAACAGGAUUAGAUACCCGGGUAGUC
Molecule: ribosomal RNA, 460 nt
Filed under: uncultured bacterium
Lineage: Bacteria
Description: partial 16S ribosomal RNA
Rfam family: Bacterial small subunit ribosomal RNA
Source: RNAcentral